CCAGCAACAGCCAGUUUAGCUCUUUUAACAUGUCACAGUGGCCGGUAAAGUAAUUACAUUCUAGUACAAAGUGGCAGAACGAAUUAUAGAACGUAUUAAGUUUAUUAAGGUGGGUUUGCGGUGCGGGUGCAUACACUACAUCCCCAUAAUGAUUCACGACUGCUGUCCAUCCCUUCCCUCUCCUGUCCUUCACUGGCCAUCUCCGCAUAUAACACUACCCUUACAUCUGCCUUGAACGCUGCAGCACCUCUCCAAACAAGCACCUCAAGGAGGACCCGCCCCCAACCAUGGCAUACUAAAUCAAC
Non-coding RNA from Pelobates cultripes (western spadefoot toad), 305 nucleotides. The record is from the annotation of a GenBank genome assembly. Lineage: Eukaryota; Metazoa; Chordata; Amphibia; Anura; Pelobatidae.